Molecule: ribosomal RNA, 70 nt
Filed under: Porphyromonas cangingivalis
Lineage: Bacteria; Pseudomonadati; Bacteroidota; Bacteroidia; Bacteroidales; Porphyromonadaceae
Description: 16S rRNA. Bacterial SSU
Source: RNAcentral
CUGGCUCAGGAUGAACGCUAGCGAUAGGCUUAACACAUGCAAGUCGAGGGGCAGCACGGGAUUAGCUUGC